Long non-coding RNA from Oncorhynchus nerka (sockeye salmon), 439 nucleotides. RefSeq lists it as uncharacterized. Lineage: Eukaryota; Metazoa; Chordata; Actinopteri; Salmoniformes; Salmonidae. The transcript is spliced from 2 exons. The record is from RefSeq and is a predicted model, not a curated record.
UGUACCUGUCUGUCCAAGAGGUAGGAGAGUAGAGCAGGACCAAGAGGUGUUCUGUACCUGUCUGUCCAGGAGGGAGGAGAGUAGAGCAGGACCAAGAGGUGUUCUGUACCUGUCUGUCCAGGAGGGAGGAGAGUAGAGCAGGACCAAGAGGUGUUCUGUACCUGUCUGUCCAGGAGGGAGGAGAGUAGAGCAGGACCAAGAGGUGUUCUGUACCUGUCUGUCCAGGAGGGAGGAGAGUAGAGCAGGACCAGGAGGUGUUCUGUACCUGUCUGUCCAGGAGGGAGGAGAGUAGAGCAGGACCAGGAGGUGUUCUGUACCUGUCUGUCCAGGAGGGAGGAGAGUAGAGCAGGACCAAGAGGUGUUCUCUACCUGUCUGUCCAGGAGGGAGGAGAGUAGAGCAGGACCAAGAGGUGUUCUGUACCUGUCUGUCCAAGAGGGA